GGGAAUACCAAAACACACACACACACUUCGGUAUCAUCGAUAGAGGUUUAACAACACAGUGUAAAGUUUGCAUAAUACUGUGGAUUGACAGCAGUUGGAGAGUGUAAUUAUGAAUCGUGUUUUUUUCCAAACGCAAGCAGCGCAUGCGCAGUAGCGGCACAGUCAGACUUGGCCCUUCGACUGUCACAGCUUUUAAAACACCGGCAGCUUCAGUAUUUCCAGCUUACACCUUCAUCAUCAUCCUCACAUUCUUCAUCUUCAGAGGCUCAGCAUGAGUGGAGAUCAUGCACACAAACAGCACCAGAUGCAGUCUGGGUCUGAGGACUACAGUAAGUGUUUUUUACAGAAGAGAAGAGCUGCAGCGCACAUUACAGUUAAAUACAGUGAGAUGAAGCAGAGAUGUCUAUUGUUCAGAAACAGCGCUGUGCAAUCACACUUAACCCCUGAGAUACCUCACACCGAGAUCACAUCCGUGUAGAGAAGCAGCUCGAUUAGAGGAACACGACAGUCAUGGUGUCGGGUUCGAAGACUAACGGGAUGAAUUUGGGAGCUGAAAGCGUGAGGACCUCGUCUCUGUGCCAUCUUCUUUUCUCUGAACAUAAGCAGCAUUUCUGUGAGAGACAGCAGCUAUAAUAACAUUAUAGUUACCUCAGCUGGUAAUGUAAAAUCAUAAUAUGAGAGAAUCUUUGCUAUAUUUCUGUGAGCAACAACUGUGUUCACUCACUCACUAUGGUGUUUGGCUAAAACUAUGGUUAGUAACAUUAACAAAAAAGUACUGUCAUGUAGUAUACCUAGCAUAUUUCCUGGGAUUUACCAUGGUAAUACCACGGUUUGGGUUAUAUGAAUAUGGUAAUCAUUCAGUAUAAAGGUGGACACAAAAUGACAGGUUAUAAAAUGCAGUCUUGUAGUUCAGUUCUACUGAACUCUUCUAAAAAGCUCUACUGUACGCUGAUAUUACGCUCUACACUCCUUCAAACUGACUGAGAACUUGUGUAUUGUGGUGUACAGUGAUGCUUUUUAAGCCUAUAUACCCUGCCCCUUUAAAUCGUGGAAUAAAAAGCACUUUUUUGUUGUUUCUUUUUUGUUUAGUUGACCUAUUUGUCACUUUGAGUUCUGGUUUAAUUUCAAGCCUGUUAGAUUAGCCAAAGUCGAGUUAGGACUGAUGUUAAACAAUGAUUAGACAGGAAGUUACAUUAUUUGAGCUGUUUCUAGUAACUAUUUGGAAAGGAUGCUUAAUUUUAACCAAAAUUUUGAGUUUUGUUAUUUUUAGAAUGUUUUACUUCAUGAAAGGUAUAAACUUGAUAAAAGUUUUGGCACUUGCUAUGUGAACACACACACACACACACACACACGAAAAAUUAAAUUAAAUUAAAGAAAUAAAUAAUGGACAUGAUUUGAAAAGGUUAAAUGGUUCUGAAAAAAAAUCAUGUUCAUUAAAUGGAUUAAAACUACUGUAUAAAUAUA
Long non-coding RNA from Cyprinus carpio carpio, 1464 nucleotides. The record is from Ensembl. Lineage: Eukaryota; Metazoa; Chordata; Actinopteri; Cypriniformes; Cyprinidae.